UUCGAGUGCGGUCUCGCGGCCACCUCCCACCCUUGUCUCUAUACACCUGUUGCUUUGGCGGGCCCACCGGGGCCACCUGGUCGCCGGGGGACGCACGUCCCCGGGCCCGCGCCCGCCGAAGCGCCCUGUGAACCCUGAUGAAGAUGGGCUGUCUGAGUACUAUGAAAAUUGUCAAAACUUUCAACAAUGGAUCUCUUGGUUCCGGCAUCGAUGAAGAACGCAGCGAAAUGCGAUAAGUAAUGUGAAUUGCAGAAUUCCGUGAAUCAUCGAAUCUUUGAACGCACAUUGCGCCCCCUGGCAUUCCGGGGGGCAUGCCUGUCCGAGCGUCAUUUCUGCCCUCAAGCACGGCUUGUGUGUUGGGUGUGGUCCCCCCGGGGACCUGCCCGAAAGGCAGCGGCGACGUCCGUCUGGUCCUCGAGCGUAUGGGGCUCUGUCACUCGCUCGGGAAGGACCUGCGGGGGUUGGUCACCACCAUGUUUUUACCACGGUUGACCUCGGAUCAGGUAGGAGUUACCCGCUGAACUUAAGCAUAUCAAUAAGGCCGGAGGAAAGAAA
RNAcentral lists this ribosomal RNA (555 nucleotides) under Talaromyces pinophilus. RNAcentral describes it as "eukaryotic LSU rRNA". The stretch from base 176 to 329 matches the Rfam family "5.8S ribosomal RNA". The record is from RNAcentral. Lineage: Eukaryota; Fungi; Ascomycota; Eurotiomycetes; Eurotiales; Trichocomaceae.